CACGUAGGGUCCGAGCGUUGUCCGGAAUUACUGGGCGUAAAGCGCGCGCAGGCAGUUAGUCGCAUCGGCGGUGAAAGCCCCCCGCUUAACGGGGGAGGGUCCGUCGAGAUGGACUGACUGGAGGCAGGGAGAGGGCGGUGGAAUUCCGGGUGUAGUGGUGAAAUGCGUAGAGAUCCGGAGGAACACCAGUGGCGAAGGCGGCCGCCUGGACCUGACCUGACGCUGAGGCGCGAAGGCGCGGGGAGCGAACGGG
This 253-nucleotide ribosomal RNA is filed under the name uncultured bacterium. RNAcentral describes it as "partial 16S ribosomal RNA". It matches the Rfam family "Bacterial small subunit ribosomal RNA", at positions 524 to 776 of the family's 1533-position model. The record is from RNAcentral.